GACGAACGCUGGCGGCGUGCUUAACACAUGCAAGUCGAGCGGUAAGGCCCUUUCGGGGGUACGACGAGCGGCGAACGGGUGAGUAACACGUGGGUGACCUGCCCUCAGCUCUGGGAUAAGCCUGGGAAACCGGGUCUAAUACCGGAUAUGACUCCAUGACGCAUGUUGUGGGGUGGAAAGCCUUGUGCGGCUGAGGAUGGGCCCGCGGCCUAUCAGCUUGUUGGUGGGGUGAUGGCCUACCAAGGCGACGACGGGUAGCCGGCCUGAGAGGGCGACCGGCCACACUGGGACUGAGACACGGCCCAGACUCCUACGGGAGGCAGCAGUGGGGAAUCUUGCGCAAUGGGCGAAAGCCUGACGCAGCGACGCCGCGUGGGGAGUGAAGGUCUUC
RNAcentral lists this ribosomal RNA (391 nucleotides) under uncultured bacterium. RNAcentral describes it as "bacterial SSU rRNA". It matches the Rfam family "Bacterial small subunit ribosomal RNA", at positions 28 to 419 of the family's 1533-position model. The record is from RNAcentral.